Molecule: long non-coding RNA, 16525 nt
Filed under: Podarcis lilfordi (Lilford's wall lizard)
Lineage: Eukaryota; Metazoa; Chordata; Lepidosauria; Squamata; Lacertidae
Source: RNAcentral
UGUAACAUAAGCAGUCAAGUACAACACUUCCUGUUUGCCUAGAGUGGACACGCAGGGGGGUGUUACUCCAGCCAGGAGGAGACUUCUUGUCACACCUGGUCUGGAGCUUCCUUCCCCUGCGUGUGACCAGGUAGGUGGGCGUGACCUUGGGAGACCCCAUAAAAGGGGCUGGUCACGCAGCCACCUCCCUCUUCUUCCUCUUGAUGCUAUUCCCUUCUGAUACUGUUGUAUUUUGCUGUCUUCUGGCUCUCAGUCACCAGGACAUAGGCUCUUUCCAUAUGGGAUGAACUCAAGCCGUCUUUUGUAACUCUAAGCUAAAGCCAACUGUGAACUGAAUGUGAGUAAACCUCUUAUUACUUUUAAAAGAAGCUUCUUGUGUCUUUAUUCUUUUUAGGAGGGAUAAAAGGGGUCUUACCAGAAUGGAUUGCUUAAGUAAAGAGAUUCAAAUGAAUCUGCCAACUAGCUUCCUGCUAUAUAUUGGGGAAUGUCGUCGCUUUGCUGCUGAGUCACAAGCGUGAGUUAGGAAGGAUACUAUUAAAUCAAUAUAUCCUCUCCUAGUAUCUACAACAUUCCCACACAGAGGAGCUGUGCAUUGCCCUGCCACCUGCCCCUUCUGCUGCAUAUCCCAUUUCUUGGUCAAGAAGUUGUGAACUGAGAACAGAUUUUUCUGCCAAAACCAGGCAAGGCAAGGAACACUGGGAACAGUGUGGAGGAAAGGGGUUCUACAGGAGUACAAUGCUCAACUCACCGUGCUGGUGGGCUCUCAAUUAGUUUUGAAAUAAAGAUUUUUCAUUUUGCGUGCAAUUUUGUGCCUGGCUAUUAUCGCUUUAAGUAAAGAAAAUAUGCAGCCCAUUAACUCUGGCAAAUUGUCACUUACAUUACUGAUGAGUAUGAAAUGAGGGUGUAUGUUUCUCCCCUUAGGAAGUCAACUUGCAGGAAUCCAUCAAUCUUCUUGUGUUUAAUGGCAAUUAAGCAGACAUUCCUUCUCCACCUCCCCAUUGCCCCCCACUGAUGUUUUAACAGAUCACAACUUAACCACGCAGCUCAUGUGUAUUAAGCGACCAUGGAAGAUAAGAUGAAGGUCUCUUUGACCGUACGUUCCCCCCACUUGGAAUGGAGAGGGAGGUGGCCCUUUUAUUGCAUUUUGCACACAGAAAAGAAAUGAGAAAUGCAUUAAGUUAUUAAAUGUGAAGUGCAUUAAAUCUGUGAUUAAGGGUAAAGUACAGGAAACAUGGAUAUCUUUCAGAACAUGGCAAUGAGACCAGACUUAUUAUAUAGCUGGAGAAGGAAUUUGUUGGGUCUGAUUUUCCCACUGGGCCAACCUGAUGCUCCCUAAUUUGCUUGUGGAUCAGAAUGCAAUUCCCAGCCAAAUUGCACAACCUGCCGGAAUUUGCAAUGUCACUUCAACAUGCCAAAAGUAGACCUCACAAUCACCGUAUUUUUCGCUCCAUAAGACGCACCUUUUUCCUCCUAAAAAGUAAGGGGAAAUGUGUGUGCGUCUUAUGGAGUGAGUGUGUGGUCGAUCACUGGCUCCCUUUCUGGCCCUGCCCCCUUGCCCAGGCCUCCAUUGUUGAAUGUUCUGCAGAUGGAGGCUGUUUGUUUUCCCAGCAACAUGUGACUGGCUGAUUAGAUUAUCUGUCUGGAAACUGUAGAAACAGCUCCCUUUCCUUUCCUAAAGAAGCUGCAGAACUGUGAGAUGAACACCAUAAAAACAGGAUUUUUUCCCUUUGCAAACUAAGCUCAACAACUUUGAGCUUAUCCUCAAAAAGAGGGGCUUUUCCCCUUUGCAAAAGAAGCUGCACAACUGUGAGCUGAUCCCCCCCAAAAUGGGGCUUUCCCCCUUUCCUCCUCUAAAAACUAGGUGCGUCUUAUGGUCAGGUGCAUCUUAUGGAGUGAAAAAUAUGGUAAGCAUGGAGGCAGCAAUGCCACCAGUUGUGGAAACUGCAGGAGGGGAGAGUGUAGUUGUGCUUGGGUCAUGCUUGAGAGUUUCCCACAGACAUCUGGGUGGCCACCGUGAGAACAGGAUGCUGUACUAGAUGGGUCAUUGGCGUGAUCCAGCAGGCUCCUCUUAUGUUCUGGGAGGGACUGGGCAGAGGAGAAAUGGUGGAGACCGCCUUCCCACCCUGACCCUUCCAGGGAGGAGGAAGAGGAAGACAGUAUAGGCUUACAACAGUGGUUUGUGGGAGGUCACAGCUCAGAGGCAGAUGAAGGGAAAAGUUUGGAAAUAAUGGGAGAGGAGGAGGAGGAGGAGGAAGCAAGAUGACAACUGAUAGACACAGUGUCACUGGAAAACCUUCCAGACCCCCCUCCGAGAACCCAGCAAGCCUUGAAAGUAGGAGAGCAAAAAGGUCAAAGACAGAGGGCACAUAGCAGCACCCGUAGAAGAAGUGGGGAUGAUGACGAAUGAGGAAAUGAGAGGCAGGGGUGGAGAUUCAUUCGGGACAAUGCCAUUAUCCAAGAGGUUGGGUUCUAUAGCCUCUCUUUGUAAUUACUGGAUAAAAAAGGAUGGUAAGAAACCAUCCCUUGUCUUUAUACUUUCCUGGGCAACCAGCCGGGAGCCACUGACAGCAUCCUGACAUGUUCCUGUGGAGGACUUCUGAUGCCCACACACCACACAUGGAUGCUGAGUGGUCACAGGAUGUGAGGCACAGCAGUAGAUACUCUCCUGCUGCUACAACACAUAAGUGCCUUGCAAAUGGGUGAUGUGUGAAGAGGCCUUUGGCAUGGAAUGCUUCCAACUGGUGCCAUAACUCUCUUGAUUCUUGCACAGGCUGUGAACCAGUAGAGUAGUGUGAUGAAGCAGGCAAGUUGUUGGCAUUUCUCCCUGUGUUUUUGGAUUAAGACAUUAGCAUUCAUUCUGAGAGGCUCUUCUGCCUCUGAAGCACUAUUAUGAUAUGACAAAAAGAUUGAACCACCCAAAGUGGAAGAUUAUUGCUUGUUUUCCAGCCAUUGGGUCCGGUAAACGGAGCUGUGAAAAUUAAGCAUGGAAGCAUUUGCCGGUACUCCCAAAAUUACUUUCUUUUCUUUUCUUUCUUUCGUUUUUUCUUUUUUAAUGAAACGAAAAUGUGAUUGUAAUGGAUAUAGUCUCACUCCAACGACUUAAGUAACAAUAUCAAAUAUAGAUGUAGAUUGCUCAACUCCAGCAGGCUAUGAAACUUCAUUGAGCGGGAUGUGAUGUUGGGGUAAUUGUGUCUUCUUAAAAGCUCAUCAGGUUUGUUAGUCUAGAAAGUGGCGAGACUCUAAGCAUGGCUGGAAGCCAUUAAGGGUGGCGGCAAGGGCUGUGGGUGGGAGAUAAUCAGAUGCUCCAUCUGGAAAUUACCUGAAGCUUAUCAUUAAUGCUUAAUAGUUUCACAAAAGCACCGGGAGGGAGGAAUGCUAAGAUGCAUGCAUUUAACUCUGCAUGUGGCUUGCCAUGGCAACAUAGGAAGUGUCCUUCUUUCGACUCAUGGAAUCAUAGAACUGCAGAGUUGGAAGGGACCCAAAGGCUUAUCUUUUAACCCCCCUCAUUGCAAGGAUCACAGCAAAAGAAUCCUGGGCAGACAGCCAUCCAAGCUUUGCUUAAAAACCUACAGUGAAGGAGAGUCUACCACUUUCCGAGUCUGUUCCAGUGUCAAACAGCUCUCACCAUCAGAAAGCUCUUCCUGAUGUUUAAUAAGAACCUCCUAUCUUGUGAUUUGAACCCGUUGGUUUGGUUCUUUCCCUCUGGAACCGUAGAAAACAGGCAGCCCCGGGCAGGGUUUUCUGCGCUUAUUUGGCCCUCCUCACCUCUGGGCAGCAAAAGGGCAUCUGAAGGUGUGGCUUGCAUUCUUGCAGGGGUAUAUGUUAGGAAAACAUUAUUUAAGAAACAGAUAAAAGUUCCUGGAAGCUUUAAAGAGGGUUCCAGAAUUUUCUUUAGUGAGUAGGAGUGGGGCUUUAGGCUUGAUUAGUGUCAGCUGGUGGUGCAAAUAAAGGAAGAUGCUAUUUCCUCACGAGGAAAGCACAUGCACACGCUGUCAGCACGCAUGCUGACAACAAGGUUGGAAGUAAGACAUUGUGUGCUGCUGAUACUGUGAGUUUUGCUGUAUCAGGAUUGUUAAUUGCUGGACUGAAAUUAUACCGUGCUGGAGAGAUAAAGAAGGGAUGUAAAUAGCUUGCAUAUAAUAGUAAGAGAAAUGCUCAUGCAACCAGUCAAGCAAUAAAGAAGCUCUUGACUUUGAAUUUGAGUAUGACUCCUGUUCUUGCCCUCUGCCUCCGGGGAAAACUCUGCUACAAACAGUAAGAAGUGGCUUUACCAAGGUGCCACCACACUAGCAGAGACAUGCAGUGGAAGUGUGUGGGCCGUAACCUCUAAUAGUAUAAUGGGGGGGCCUCCUUUUGGCAGGACCUAAUGAUUUUCAGGUCCAUUCAGAUGCCUCGGGUAACCUGGUUUUCAGUGUCUACUUUGAGGGCUGAUGGUGCUCCCAGCCUCAUUGGACGGGAGAUGGGAUCACAAGUGAUCUCACCUUCCUAGAAUUCUUUCUCAUCCUGGCGGCUGUAUAUAUCUGGGUGGAGGAAUUCCAAAAUUCCAGGGUGCAUUCUUUUGGUCUGACAAUCAGGAAGUGGUGAAGGUUCUAGCCAAAAGUCCUCCCAUUCAGAUUAGGUCCUUAGGUUGCUCCAUGCAUUUGUGUUGCAUUGCUUGCUGGCCAACAUCUCAUUUUCAGACAGUUCCAUUCCAGGCCUUGAUAAUAGGAUGCUCUAUCCCAAUUUCAGGACAAUGGUUUCUAUGCCCUAUCACCCAGGGCUUGGCCGAUGCCAGAGUCCAGGGCCAUCAUACCCAUAGGCACUAGGGGUGUGGGGCACCCAGGCACCGGGCUCUCAGGGGCGCCAGGCCGAGAGUCCAGGGCCCGAGAGUUGAGUCCGGGGAAGAGCCCGCCCAUCAGUUGGAGUGUCAUGGCGGGCUCUUCUGCUGCGGGCGGCUCUGUGCCGUGAGUUUGGGGGUGACCGAGCCAGUGAGACGCUGAGGCGCCCGGCCAGCUCCACCCUUCUGUGCGCCUGUGACUGGGCAACCUGGGGGAGGGGGGCACUGGGCAGAUCUUUGCACCCCAGCACCACAUAUGCUUAAGACAGCCCUGCCAGAGUCAUUUCCCAAACACUUCUGGGCAAUUGGAUACAUACCAUGAUGCAGGGAGUAUUGCAGUCCAGGACAUGGUCUUCCUUCAAGGCCUUCUGGUCUCAAGCCAGGGCUGGCCCAUGCCUCCCCACAGCUUGGAAGAAGGAUGUCCUUCCAUUUCUCAUCUUCCUUAAGAAGCAGGGGUUCGCAGUUAAGACUUGCUUGUGGCUGCAAACACCUUCUGGGGGCUCUCCAACCCAUGUGAGCAUUUUCAUGUAUGCAGGCUAUUAGAGGGAUGGUCCAGGAGUCACCGUCAGUCCCAAACACCUGGAGACCUAUUACAUAUGAUCUAAAGGUUAUAUGGAAAGCACUGGGCUUCAUCUGCCAGUCAAAUCCUCCUUAAACAGUGGUGCCCAGAACUUGACACUGGACUCCAGGUGGGAUCUGACAAAAGCAGAAUAGAUUGAUGCUAUUAUUCCCUUUGCUCUGGACACCAGACUUCUCUUGAUGCAGCUUAGAAUUUCAUUAGCCCUUUAUUUAUUUUUUUGCUACAGACACAUUCUGCACACUCAUGCAACCCAAACAGACUGUUCCUUGUGAUUUUCCAUGGAGGAUAUUGAUUUCCCCAGGGAAUUGAUAUAUAAUGCAACACUAUGUGGAUUUCCCCCCAAAGUGUGAAAUCUGUGACGGCCGUGGAAAAAAAUAACAACCGAGAAACCAAAUAUAUAGCUGUAUCUAUAACGGUGAAUACUGAUCUAUAGUGUGAUGUCCUGGAGAAGAGACUGGUGAGAUUUGUCACUCUGUUUCCUGUAUUAAAAUGGAUCUUCCAAAAUGCAGCCAUGCCAAAAUCGAUAUCAGAUAAUUGGAAAAGGGAAUCGUGAGCCUGAAGAGAAGAUUAAGCUAGAACAAGGGUAUAAAAUGUGAUAAUUAAACGAGUACUUUUGUAUUCUCCAGGUGGGCCCAAAGGAAAGUGCUUACAUUGUCGUUUAAUGCAGAUCAAGGGGGGAGAAGAGGGAGUGGUAUUAACAGCCAGUUGUAACAUUGGAGUUUAAUGGGGCUUAGGGGUCAGAAAACUAUCAGAAGAUCGAUCAUUUCUCCCCUUUAUAGUCCCCAGUUAAAACACUUACAGAUGGUAAAUCUUCUUUAUCCCUCCUUUUGUUGCAUAAUUGUGUGCGCAUUAGCGUCCUGAUCUAUGCAUGCAUUCGAAAAUCAUGUACUUGGAAGCAUUUCAAACACUUCAUAACUGCCAACUUCAUAUUCGCCUGGUCAGACCUUGCUUUGCUGUUGGCUCUGCCUGCCCGGUUCCUUUCUGUGUCCAAGGAAGGAACUCUGCAUGACAGGAGACCCUAGGCUGCACUGCUAGAAAUGCCUUGUCUGGCAUCGUCCUUUAAGAGCCAGUGUGGUGUAGUGGUUAAGAGCGGUGGACUCAUAAUCUGGUGAACCGGGUUCGAUUCCCCGCUCCUCCACAUGCAGCUGCUGGGUGACCUUGGGCUAGUCACACUUCUCUGAAGUCUCUCAGCCUCACUCACCUCACAGAGUGUUUGUUGUGGGGGAGGAAGGGAAAGGAGAAUGUUAGCUGCUUUGAGACUCCUUCGGGUAGUGAUAAAGCGGGAUGUCAAAUCCAAACUCUUCUUCCAAAACUCUUCUUAAGACUUUCGGGCUCCAGCUCUCCACAACAACCGCAGUUAACCUUGGUGACUCUGGGCUACAGAACACACCCUCCAGCUCUUGGUUCCAUUUCUUUAUUAUUAUCUUAUUUCAUAAAAUUUGUAUAUCACUUGAUUGCAAAAAAUAAAUAAAUCUCAAAGCGUUUUAUAAAAAGAAUAUUUUUUUUUGUAAAAACAAAAAUGAAACAUUCAAAAGAUUAAAACCACCAAUAAAUUAAAUAGUUUGUAGGAGAGUUGGGUGGGGUGUGUGUGUAUCUCAGCUUUCAACCAAUGCACCCUUUUGGUUUCAGAUAGUACAUGGGUUUUAGGAACACAAGAAGUUGCCAGGUCAGAUCUCUGAUCUAUCUAGGUAAAAGGUAAAGGACCCCUGGAUGGUUAAGUCUAAUGAAAUGCGACUAUGGAGCUCAUCUCGCUUUCAGGCCGAGGGAGCUGGCAUUUGUCCACAGACAGCUUUCCAGGUCAUGUGGCCACGGCUUCUGGUGCAACAGAACACGAUGACAGAAACCAGAGUGCAUGGAAAUGCUGUUUACCUUCCUGCUGCAGCAAUACUUAUUUAUCUACUUGCACUGGCCUGCUUUCAAACUGCUAGGUUGGCAGCAACUGGGACAGAGAAACGGGAGCUCACCCCGUCGCAGGGAUUUGAACCGCCAACCUUCUGAUUGGCGAGCCUAAGAGGGGACACGGGUCUAAACCACAUGAGCAGGGGGCAAUUUCUAGCACUUGAGAUGAUCCAGGCCAGUCACUCCACAGAAAGGGAGCAUAAAGGAUCUAAGCUGGACACGGGGGCUGGUUGGUGGUGAAGAAGCCAACACAAAAAGAAACCCUUUCUCUGAUCCGCAGAGUUUUCUAACCCCUGGCAGUUGGUUAUAGAGUCUGGACUUCUGGAUUUCCCUUCCUAAGAAAAGGGAGAAGUAGAAACUGCCAAUGGACAUGGAGUGGUGGUGGCUGAUAGAAAUCCCAGUGAAACACUGAAACAUCACUUCCAUCAGUUUCAAUCCUAAAUCAACAAUCUAGAUAAGUGAUGGGAGACUCUGUCCAUUGUGGUUUCUCUUUUCUCAUUUGUCCACUCUUAAGUUCAGUUCUCCACAUCAAUAUGUGUUUGUUUGGUUUUUUUAAAAAAAGGUCUCCUGAAAUCUCGCCAGUAUUUUAGUGUAAAUUUCUCCUAAUACAUAUAAAUAAUUUUUGUAUGUAGGCCUAAUCUACUCAGGGUCCCUUCCAACUUUACAAUCCUAUGAUUGUAGAAUCCAGGUCUAAAUCCAUAUUGCUAAGAUCACAGGGGCCAAGCUAUUUUGGUUCAGGAAUGGCUCUAGCUGUCCUACCAAACAAAGCUAGCGAUAGGCACUCCUAGCUGCCAUGGCCUCAACUAACAAAGAUGGAGCCAGGAACAUCCCCAGACUCUGUUCAGACAGGUAACUGACCAAUCUCCUGUGUAGAAAUAAUAAGAAGACAUUUCUACCAUGCUUUAUUGCUGAUUUCAUGGGGUGGUUAAUGCAAGUUAAGAGGCAGAUAAACCAUUCAAAGCAAUUUUGAACAGUUGAAAUCAUGCAUCUGCUUUGAGUGAAGUUGACUGUCGAGAGUUUGGGCUCCUUCACAUUAAGCUCAAACACAAUAUCCCAGGAUCCAGUUGUCCCACCUUUCCGUUGUAUUUUUCAGCGGAACCGAAAUACAAGGAGGUCAGAUUAAUUUCCCUAGUUGCAUUUCAAAAUAUUUUCUGACUCCCAUGCAGAGCAUUACAAGAACAGGCCUCUUCUCAGAAGCAACAAAGCGUUUACACUUUCAUUACACCUUGCAGACCUAAAAGGAGCCAAAAUCUGCAAUUUCUUUCCGUCGAAUGCCAUAAAAACAAAGAGAUCGUUUGCAAUGCAGUAAAAAUACACUAAUUGCUUUUUGCUGGUUUUUUUGUUUUUGUUUUACAGGGGUAUGGGGACCCAAGAACAAAAUAGGCUUUGUUUUUCAUUUAGAAAUCAGGGGAGUGGAUAAAAGAUACAGCCCAACAACGUUUUUUAAAAGCAACGUCGCAGGAUGUACAUUUUUAAUAUCUUGGCCACUUGUAUACUGCAACCUAGAGACUUGAAGCAUUCUCUCUCUCUCUCUCUCUCUCUCUCUCUCUCUCUCUCUCUCCAGUUUGAUGUUUUCCCUGGUUGAAAAAAAUCUCUACUCUCUCUCUCACACACAACUUUGUUUACUUUCAUUCAGGGGCGGGAAACCAUUUUUAUCCCGAGGGCCACUAUCCCUUCUGGGACAUAUUCCAGGGGCCAUGUUCUGGUGGUGAGUGUAGCCCUAAGCCAAAGUGGGUGGGGUGGCAAAUGUUAAUUGUACAUUUGUACAAUAGGCUACACACCUUCCUCUUUCCUCCAUCUAAGCAGGUGAGAGGCACUGUUGUGGGAUUUCCACUCAAAAUCACGAAAUACAUGAUUGCCAGGCAGGCACAUGAGGGACUGAAACUCCUAGAGUUUCUGAAUAAAUAUAGAAGGGACUGUAAGAUGAGCUGAAAUAGACUUGGAGCCCUGUAGUGAUUUCAUGCUCUUUAUUGCAGCUUGUAAAACAGUGAUUGAAUUGCCCCCAAACCUCAGGCUUUUAUAUACAUUAUUUACAUAAUGAGUCCUGUCUGACUGGCUGAUUCUUCUUCCCUCCUGGAGCCUGACUGGUCUUUUCCUGCAGGCCAAUCAGCUGUUGCAUUCUACGAUCCUACUUGCCUAUUCUAGGAUCCAAGCUUAGUACAUAACAGGAGCCUUCCUUAAUGCUUUGGUGUGAACUUCUAACAAAGGAGAUAAUCUGAUGUGUUUCCUCUCUACCUGAGCUAUGAGGGGCAUUCAUUAAAGAUUUCCCCUGACGUACUUCCCGUGGACUGAGACAAACGAAACUGGGCACAGUUAUUUGUCCUUCUCUACAUAGCUACCAGCAAGAGUCAAACAUUUCUCCCAUUGCUUUAUGCAGCUGUGGAGACCUCAUCUGUAUAAGUCGGCAAGUUGUGUCAGAAGCCACAACUUGACCUCAGAAAUCAGCUUUCAUCGUCUGGAAAAAGCUUGCCCUUCAAAAAUAACUUCAUAGUUGGAAAGAGGUGGAAGUCAGAUGGUGUGAGGUCAGAAGAAUAAGAUGGGUGAGGAAGGAUUUCAUAGCCACAGGACCAUGCUUCCGUCUGAAUAACAUUCGAGUUGUGAACCGGGGCGAUAUGCUGCAGGAGGUGAACAACUUUGGUCAGCAUACCAUGUUUCUCGGUUUUGAUGGCCUUCCACAAUUCCUGCAGCAGUGAAAGAUAGUAUGUCCCAGUAAUUGUGGUACCCUUUGCCAGGAAAUCCAUCAUCACUACUCUGCUCUGGUCCCAAAAGACCGUGAGCAUGACCUUGCCUGCUGCCGGUUGGACACGUGCCUUCUUUGGAGGUAGUGAGGUAGAGGGCUUCCAUUGUUUGGACUGGAAUUUAGUCUCUGGGUCAUAAUGAUGGACCCAUGUUUCGUCUUGAGUAAUUAGUCUGGCAAAGAAGCCAUCAUGGUUUUUGUGAAACAUGGCCAAAAGAGCCUGUGAGCAUGUGACUCGUUCCUGCUUCUGAAAAGGCACCAGCAGUCGGGGAACCCACCAUGCGGACACCUUUCCCAUGUGCAAAUGGUCAUGGAUGAUUAUUUCUACAGAGCCCACACUGAUCUUGACAUCUGCAGCUAGUUGGCAAACGGUUAUGCAUCAAUCCUCCAAAAUGGUGGCCUCCACUUGCCGGAUGGUGUCUUCAUCAGUGGCGGGUUGUGGUCUCCCAGGAAUGGGAGCCGUUCCACCGAAGUUCGACCACACUUGAACUGACGAUGCCAGUGCUUGACUACAUCAUACAAUGGGACAACCUCCCCAUAAGUCCCUUUCAUCUCAUCAAACAUCUCCCAUGGUGUGUGUCCUUUCAAAUACAGGAACCUGAUGACCACUCUGCCUUCAACUGGUUCCACUAUCAGAUGUUACUCCACGUUAGCACCAGUAACAGAGAAACUGUUAGGAGUUCAGAGCUACAAAUUACCAUGUUUCCUAUGGAGAGAUGCAUCAUCAUACUUGUGCAAUUUCAUCCUCCUACAAAAACUGGAAGUGGGACAGGGAAAAUCUUUAAUGAACGACCCUCGUAUCUCUCUCUUCUUUCAAGCUAGCGAUGUGAGCAGCUGUAAAUGCCUAGACUCCACUAAGCCCACACUCCAUUUGGGAAACUAUUUUUGUAACUAAGAAAUAUUUUCACCUGAAUACUACUUCAAUGUAUUUGCUUCCUGCAUUGAAAUGUACCGGUAAGUAAACCUUUUGUUUACUUGACUAAAGCAUGCGGUUCAUUCUUAGCAACGGAGACAAAGAACAGAAAAGUCAGCAGACCACAAAUAAACAGGGAUAAAAAGGUGUAAUUGCCUAAUUCCUAGAUUUUGGUAGAUUUCAAAAGUGCAUAAGUGUUUUUAUGCUGCUAGAAGGGCUUUACAGACUGUUUACUCUCAUAUUUCUCCCACACACAUGGGAUAGGAGUUUUACCUAGCCACUGUGAUCCAUCCGACGGUCACCUCCAGGCUUUAUUAUUGUAACUCGCUCUACGUGGGGCUGCCCUUGAGACUGACCCAGAAAUUCCAGCGGGUGCAGAAUGCCGCGGCGAGACUCCUUACGGGGUCCUCGCUGCGGGAUCACAUUCACCCGGUGCUAUACCAGCUGCACUGGCUCCCGGUGGAGUACAGGAUCAGGUUUAAGGUGCUGGUUUUAACCUUUAAAGCCCUAUACGGCCUAGGACCCUCAUACCUACGGGACCGCCUCUCCUGGUAUGUCCCACGGAGGACCUUACGGUCUUCAAACAAAAACAUCCUGAAGGUCCCAGGCCACAGAGAGGUUAGGCUGGCCUCAACUAGAGCCAGGGCUUUUUCGGCUGUGGCUCCAAUCUGGUGGAACGCUCUGUCACAAGGGACUAGGGCCCUGCAGGACUUGACAUCUUUCCGCAGGGCCUGCAAGACAGAGCUGUUCCACCAGGCCUUUGGUUAGGGCACAGCCUGACUCCCUCCUUUGGCAAUCUUCACAGAACUUUAGCCUAAUGGUUGCCAUCAAUUUGAUUUGAAUUAAUUUUAUAAUGAAAUGAUUUUAGAAUGUUGUACUAUUUUAUUGUUGUUAGCCGCCCUGAGCCCGGCUUCGGCUGGGGAGGGUGGGAUAUAAAUAAAUUUAUUAUUAUUAUUAUUACAUUAUACUUUACAGAGUUAAUCCUCAACCCAUCUCCAUCAAUCAUCACAGUUCCAGGACACAUUCCAAUGGGGGGGGGGGGGGAAUUGAAGGGACAAAGCAGAGCCAGUGAGGAUCGUGCACUAGGGAGAGUCCCAAGGGCUUAGAUAGAGAUUCCUGAAUGUAACAUUGGGGACAACUAGCAACAGUCCACUGAACGAUCUCAGUGAUCAGGCCAGGAUAUCUGUCUUGCAAUGGCAAUGUCAGAAGACUUGGAGCUCAGUUUUGGAAACUGUGCCAAAGUCAGCAUGGAGAGGACUGGCAACCUGGAUUUCUUCCACGUUCUUCAAGAUCCUGACGCCUUCACUAGAUGGGAAGGAGUUACGCUGCCACAGCUUUUAACGUGCCUGGUACCUGUAGUGGCUUUUGGAUCCAGAAGCCAAUACAAGUGCAAAGAGGCUUCUGUACAGAGAGUGCUUUGCUUUGAUGUCCACAUGUGAACCAGAGCUAUACCUAUCUGGGAAGGGUAUCUACACACAUAUUUAAAAAGCUGUGAAAAUGCAUUUUGAAAAGAAAGUUUUGGGGGGAAAAUGAAUUUGCCAUAGCUUGCCAUCCCCAUCUAGUGUAACAUUUGUAUAUUGCACCUUACAACACACUUAAAACGUUUUAUUUGCAGCUGUAUAACUGACUCCUUGGUUAGGGAAUUCGCUCAGUGGAGUCAUUGUGUGUCAGGAAAAUGGUAUUUAGCAUGGGUCUUAAGAACCGAUCCACAGAAUUAUCCUAGUGCUUUCAAAAGUUCUACUAGAUGGCUUCAGUGCAAAUAGCUGCCAGGCUGCGCUCUCUGUUUCGAUGCUGCCUGAAAAGCACUCGGGGAUUUAAGCUCGGAAGGUUUCCCAGAUAGUAAAAAGUAAUAACAAACUCUCUUGCUGCCCAAUUUCUCAUUAGAGAAUGCCAUUCGGAAUGUCAAUUAGUAUUUAAAUGGAAUGCAAGCCCCAUAUUUUAUUCAGAUUGGUGCAAUUCCAUUCUUUUAUCCUCCCUCCUCAAUUUUGAAGGGGGGAAAAAAGUCGGGGAUCUGCGAUUCACUGAAGCGAAGGCCUGAUAAUCCCUUGCAAGAGACAUUGCCCAUUACCUGGUGAUUGGACCAUUUUGCAAGUGUAUUGAGAUUUGUCUGUGCUUCUCCACCAGAGCAGAGAAGACAAGGCAGGAGAUAAUCCUCUUGCACACUGUAGCGGAGAGCAACCGUAUUGUCUGUCAUAAUUGCUGUCUUCCAAAGGGAGCAGCAGCAUCUGGCAUGGGGAAUAUUGUCCUGAUUUGACCCUGAAUGUUAUUUAUGCAUUUAUUUACUUAAUACAAUUUAUAUACUGCUUGGUUAUAAUAAAACCUCAAAGCAGUUAACAAGAAACAUUAAAACGAUCAAUACAGAGCGGUUAAAAACAAUUUAAAUAAACAUGUAAAAAUUAUCAAAAAUCAACAGUGAAAGAGAUUUAAUUAUGGCAACAUUCUGUGUGUGUGGCUAGGUUUGCUUAGCAGACAAUAUUUUUAGCAGGCACUGAAAUGCGUACAGCCUGCCUGAUGUCGAUUGGCAGGUAUUCCAAAGUGGAGGUGCUGCCACAAUGAAAUAUAGAUUUCUGACAAGUGUAGCAUGAGUAUUGUGUGGCACCUGUAACACUGUGAGUGGGCAAAUAUGGAGUAAUGGCGAUGCCACCAGUAAACUAGUCCUAAGCCAUUUGGGUCUGCAUAGACCGAUAGUAACACUUUGCACGCCCUAACAAAUGGACAGACCUCUGAGUAGAAGUGUUGCUGCUUUUGAGGGCGACACGGAAACUACAAUUAAUCCAGAAUGCGGCAGCUAGACUGGUGACUGGGAGUGGCUGCCGAGACCACAUAACACCGGUCCUGAAAGAUCUACAUUGGCUCCCAGUAUGUUUCCGGGCACAAUUCAAAGUGUUGGUGCUGACCUUUAAAGCCCUAAACGGCCUCAGUCCAGUAUAUCUGAAGGAGCGUCUCCACCCCCAUCGUUCUACCCGGACACUGAGGUCCAGUGCCAAGGGCCUUCUAGAGGUUCCUCCUUGUGAGAAGUGAGGUUACAGGGAACCAGGCAGAGGGCUUUUUUUGGUGGUGGUGCCCACCCUGUGGAAUGCCCUCCGAGCAGAUGUCAAGCAAAUCAGCAGCUAUGUGAUUUUUAAAAGACAUCUGAAGGCAGCCCUGUUUAGGGAAGUUUUUAAUGCUUAACAGACCACUGUAUUUUAAUAUUUUGUUGGAAGCCACCCAGAGUGGCUGGGGAAACCCAGCCAGAUGGGCAGGGUAUAAAUUAUUAUUAUUAUUAUUAUUAUUAUUAUUAUUAUUAUUAUUAUUACAUUGGUACCUUGGGUUACAGAUGCUUCAGGUUACAGACGCUUCUGGUUACAGACUCCGCUAACCCAGAAAUAGUACCUUGAGUUAAGAACUUUGCUUCAGGAUGCGAACAGAAAUCGUGAGGUGGUGGCGCAGCUGCAGCGGGAGGCCCCAUUAGCUAAAGUGGUGCCUCAGGUUAAGAACAGUUUCAGGUUAAGAACGGACCACCAGAAUGAAUUAAGUUCUUAAGCCGAGGUACCACUGUUUGGUAUUAUUAUUAUUAUUAUUUUGUCACAUUAUUAUUAUUAUUAUUAUUAUUAUUCUGUUGGGAGCUGCCCAGAGUGGCUGGGAAAACCCAGCCAGAUGGGUGGGGUAUAAAUAAUAAAUAAUAAUUAUUAUUAUAUUGUUAUGUUGCAUGCUGACAUAGGCUCAUACAGCAUCAAGAUGAUAGCAAAGGACCUUUUCCUGUAUGGGGUGGAAUUUUCUGUGGAUAAUGUAUCCUUUCUUAGAUGUAUAAUCCCCACAAGCUGUUCUACUUACUGUAACAUGCUGCAUUUAUGCAUGGGCUGUGUUGCAGCCUUGUUCCAUGCCCAAUAAGCUUGGGAUGCCUUUGCCUUGCAGACCUGUGGCCCAUAGACUGCAGCAAUGUACUGGCCAAGGUUUUGCUCAAUAUCUUGUUUGUGCGAUGAGCUCAUGGGGAAAAAGCUACCCCAUGAGCCUUUGCACUGGGGAGAGAAAAGUCUAUCUAAGGCUGCUUCCAUUUUGCCUCGAGGGCAGUUGCUGUACUGCUCUGUUAUGCCUCCCUGCUGCCAACCAUGGAUUGCAAUGCCAGUUGAGCUAUAGCUAUUUCCAAGCCCAGGAAGUGACUCAUCCAAGCUCCGUCGCAAGUCCUUCUGCUCAGUUUGCUUGCGGAACGAAGGAAACCAAACACCUUUCUCUCCUUAAAUCCAGGCAGACAGCUUCUCCGGUUUGUUUGAAAAAACGGAGUCAACGAAGCACUGUUUUACAGUGUGCGUUCAUCAGCAUGUGCGCCCAUGAGCUACAUUUACUUAAUCUCUCUGAAAACGAAGGCACAUAUUCUGGGCAUGUUUACCUAUAAGAAAAUUGCAUUUGAUUCAAUGGAACUUAACUUCUCAGCCAGUGGGCUUUGGAUCAUGCUUGUUAAGGUACAAGUCAAUUGACUCAAAUACCACAAUUCCAAGGAAGGCAUGUGGGAAAUGAAGUGAUGGCUGUGCAUAAGAGAGAACCAGAGAGAAUAUCAAAGCUACAUACACUAUGUUCCUUUUGCUUAUGUAUGAGACAAUGGUGGUUACUGAUGCCUUCCAACUCUAUUGCUCUUGCAAGCUCUAUUUACCAAGAAGGAAAGAAUAUGGAUGGUCUCUUUGGCUUCUCCUGCUGAUUCUCUGUAUGGUUGGUUUGAGAAUACAAGCAAUAUUUAUCUCUCAGCAGCUUCCAAGCAAUCGUUUCCCUUUAAAUUUAAAAGACAACCCCCUUGGCUUUUCAGUUCUGGUUGAACUCCCUUCCUUGGCCUUCAGUGUAUUAGCAUCUUCUGCUGAACUCUCGACUCUUUCUUCCCCCUGAGUUUUGAGAAUGUGGUUCAAGUGUAUGUGUGCAAAGGUCUGGCAUUGUCUGUGAUUUUGAAACACUGACUUGAUGGAAAAUAACUGAGGGGGGAAAAACAAGGUGAAAGGGGCAAAGACAGAAACAAAAGUAUUGAGAAUGAGUCAAGUUGAAUAUGAGAAUAAAUCUUCCUCAGCUUUUCAUGCUUCCCUGAAUGUAUUCCAUGAUGGCCCCAAUUCUUACUAAGAAGGUGGUUCUGGCUGACAAAGGCUCUGAGAACAUACAGUUGGCAGCAUGGGAAAAACUAUGGAAAGAUGAUUUAAAAUUUACAGCGUGUUACACGCUGAAAGAAAACUAUAUGAUGAUGAUGUACCAUUGGUAUUUAACACCCAGAAAGUUAGCGAAAAUGUAUAGGACUAACUCCAAUGUAUGUUGGAAGUGUAAGGAAAAAGAGGGCACAUUUUAUCGUACGUGGUGGAAUUGCAAAAAGAUAAAGGAAUUCUGGGUAAUGAUAUAUAAGGAACUUUUAAAAAAAAUGUUUAAAAUAACAUUUGUUAAAAGACCAGAAGCCUUUCUCUUAGGAAUUUUAGGUGCAGAUAUAUUGAAGGAUUUGAGAAGACUAGUCAUGUAUGCGAUUACAGCUGCAAGGAUGCUGCUUCCCAGCGACGGAAACAUGAGAAAAUGCCGACAAAAGCGGACUGGCAGAUGAAACUAUUCGAGUAUUCAGAGAUGGCAAGACUGACAGGG